GAAAUGAUAAGUAAAAAGAAUAGUAGCCUAGUACUGUACUACUAGUACUACGCGGGUUGAGCCCCAGCCCGAGUCUAAAAAGACUACUCAUCUUCUCUGCUGUCCCACGAACAGAACCAGCCCGCUCACCUCUCUCUCUUCCACAAGAACAGAGCACGGCCGCCGUUGCCUCGAUCUGCCCCGUCCGGGCAUCUCCGGCGACAUGGCGGACACCUAUAGAUUCCCCUCGUCUCCCUCUACCAUUUCCCCCUAUUUAUUUGAUCCGCCGCCGCCAAAAACGUCGCCACCACUCAAUCCUAGCGCCGCCUGAUCCAGGUCCGGUGGGCUUGCCACCGGCUGCAGCGGCAACAACGUCUCCAUGCCUACAUCCUCCGCCAGCGCAGCCACACGCACGAGGCGUGCAGCCAUGGGCGUCGGGCGUGUGCGGCUUCACCGGUGCUGCUCGGUCGCCAUGGCUCUGCUGCUAACGGUGUGGACUAGCCACAUCCUACUGCUACUGCUGGUAAAUAGAUCAAGGCGAAUAGAUGCUUAUGGACUGAUUCAAACCGAGGUGGAGAUAGAUAAGAAAUCAAGCAAGAAGGGCUAACACACCAAGGUACUUGAUUAGCACCUGGUGGCGCAUGCAACCCAAAGAUCUUCACCGCAGUGAAGGACAGCAGUGUGGUAGAAGGUGAAAAGGCAAGUGGUGGGGGUACUCCAACGUAUGUGUGUGUGAGGUAGAAUGGUCCAGUGAAAGGGAUGGCUCCUAUUUAUAGUGGGGUGAAUAGCUAUGUCGGUUUGAAGACACAUUACAUCUGGCAUGCAUGUGUGGUUAGUCUUGCAUGCAUACCUCCACCUGUGUCUCUUAUGGGCUGUACUAUGGACAGGUGUAAUUUGUUUGGCUGGCCCUUAGUUGGCAUUUACUUUAUGUGAAAGAAAUGAGACAAGGGUCUAUAAAAUAUAUGGAGGUUUGGAGAAGAAUUUGUUUUGCACGACUAAAUGCUAUUUGUUGUAAUAAUAAAUGUAGUUGUCUCUAUUAUUUUAACUAAUGUUUUGGCAACGCCGUU
Molecule: ribosomal RNA, 1046 nt
Filed under: Triticum aestivum (bread wheat)
Lineage: Eukaryota; Viridiplantae; Streptophyta; Magnoliopsida; Poales; Poaceae
Description: partial small subunit ribosomal RNA
Source: RNAcentral